GAUGAACGCUGGCGGCGUGCCUAAUACAUGCAAGUCGAGCGAACGGACGAGACGCUUGCUUCUCUGAUGUUAGCGGCGGACGGGUGAGUAACACGUGGAUAACCUACCUAUAAGACUGGGAUAACUUCGGGAAACCGGAGCUAAUCCCGUAUAAUCUUUUGAACCGCAUGGUUCAAAAGUGAAAGACGGUCUUGCUGUCACUUCUCGAUGGAUCCGCGCUGCAUUAGCUAGUUGGUAAGGUAACGGCUUACCAAGGCAACGAUGCAUAGCCGACCUGAGAGGGUGAUAGGCCACACGGGAACUGAGACACGGUCCAGACGCCUACGGGAGGCAGCAGUAGGGAAUCGUCCGCAAUGGGGGAAAGCCUGACGGAGCAACGCCGCGUGAGUGAUGAAGGUGUUCGGAUCGUAAAACUCUGUUAUUAGGGAAGAACAUAUGUGUAAGUAACUGUGCACAGAUUGACGGUACCGAAUCAGAAAGCCACGGCUAACUACGUG
RNAcentral lists this ribosomal RNA (497 nucleotides) under uncultured bacterium. Its description in RNAcentral is "partial 16S ribosomal RNA". It matches the Rfam family "Bacterial small subunit ribosomal RNA", at positions 28 to 507 of the family's 1533-position model. The record is from RNAcentral.